AAUGCUAGAAACUGAACGCUGGU
This 23-nucleotide non-coding RNA is filed under the name Cricetulus griseus (Chinese hamster). Lineage: Eukaryota; Metazoa; Chordata; Mammalia; Rodentia; Cricetidae. The record is from RNAcentral.